GGAUCAUAAGGCUUUCGAUAGUUAUUUUGUUUAUCACAACACUUUAGUUCUGCUUUCUUAUGUUGAAAAGUUUGGUGUUACCUUCAUUUACUAUCUUGGCCUUCCUAAAGACAAGAUUACUACUUCGAUUUUUGAUAUUAAAUAUCUAGAUCCAUAUGUGGAAGAUGAGGGAUUUGAUUUCCUUUCUUGGUUUAGAUAAACAAGCCGCAUGUUUCUCUUCUGCUUUGUUACUCUAUCAACUUUAAGCUAAUUUAGGUGCAAUUGAAUAGGGUAAGCAAGUGUUUGGGCUUUUCUUCUACCCUAUUACUCUAUCAACUUUGUUUUAAGCUUGUUAUUAUCUAUCGAUGGUUGUCUUGUUGACUCGAUGAAUAUUGA
Molecule: unclassified non-coding RNA, 375 nt
Filed under: Hevea brasiliensis (rubber tree)
Lineage: Eukaryota; Viridiplantae; Streptophyta; Magnoliopsida; Malpighiales; Euphorbiaceae
Source: RNAcentral